Molecule: ribosomal RNA, 451 nt
Filed under: uncultured bacterium
Lineage: Bacteria
Description: partial 16S ribosomal RNA
Rfam family: Bacterial small subunit ribosomal RNA
Source: RNAcentral
GAUGAACGCUGGCGGCGUGCCUAACACAUGCAAGUCGAGCGGCAGCGAGGGGUGCUUGCACCCUGCCGGCGAGCGGCGGACGGCUGAGUAACGCGUGGGAACGUGCCCCAAAGUGAGGAAUAACUGCCCGAAAGGGUAGCUAAUACCGCAUAUUAUCUUCGGAUCAAAGGAUUUAUCCGCUUUGGGAGCUUCUCGCGUCGGAUUAGGUAGUUGGUGAGGUAAUGGCUCACCAAGCCGGCGAUCCGUAGCUGGUCUGAGAGGAUGACCAGCCAGACUGGAACUGAGACACGGUCCAGACUCCUACGGGAGGCAGCAGUGAGGAAUCGUCCACAAUGGGCGAAAGCCUGAUGGAGCAACGCCGCGUGCAGGACGAAGGCGUUCGGGUUGUAAACUGCUUUUAUAAGUGAAGAAUAUGACGGUAACUUAUGAAUAAGGAACGGCUAACUACGUG